RNAcentral lists this long non-coding RNA (223 nucleotides) under Gallus gallus (chicken). The record is from RNAcentral. Lineage: Eukaryota; Metazoa; Chordata; Aves; Galliformes; Phasianidae.
GUCAGUAUGGAGUUACCAUUACUUGUAACAGCCGCAGACUUUGUACCAAGUUAAUAACAUGGACUUCAAGCCUAUCUGAACCUGCAUGGAGAUUGGAACAGAGUAAAUAAAGUGGGAAAUCAAGUUGUGCCUUUGAAAUCGACCUAUUAUAAUAUCAGCUUUUCAAUAAAGGAGUAAAUCUACAUUGUUGUACAGAGGCAUGAGGACAUAAUCUUGAUAGAAG